Molecule: long non-coding RNA, 547 nt
Filed under: Carica papaya (papaya)
Lineage: Eukaryota; Viridiplantae; Streptophyta; Magnoliopsida; Brassicales; Caricaceae
Description: long non-coding RNA (CPAP_LNC011540)
Source: RNAcentral
AAGCUCUUGGAGGAUGGAAGAAUGAAAAUAGAAGUAAUGAGGAAAUGGUGAAGAGAGGGUUCCUAUUUAUAGAAAAUAAGGACCACUCGAUUUGCACUAAGUGGUAAAAUCUGGUGAGGAGAGAGAAAGUCAAUGGAAAAGGUGUGAUGUGAUGACUAACAGAUGUGACUGACAGACAGAUGUCGCGACAUGAUGAUGGCAUGAAAAUCCGAGACACGCCACCCAAACAACGGUGGCACGUUACCCAAGCGAUACGGGCACGCUGUCUAAGCUGGUAGUGGAGCGUGACGCACAAGGGGACGGUGCGCACUACCCCAACUAGUAGCACACUGUAGGCCUAACUCUCACACGCGUAGGCCUACCGUGCUUAAAAGGCGCACAAAGCUAUGUCUACGCAUUACGAGACGUGCAUGCAGACUGUGCCUCGCGCCUUGCGUGGCUGCACUGGUUGUGCACGUCCCAUAACGCGUUAUGGGACCUUUCCGUAGACAUUCUCAUUAGAUUUUCAACUUUUUUCUCUGUUUUUCCUAAAAUUAUUUAAAUGGAU